CUGUCACUUUUUGUUCCCAACCCUCCCAGGCCAUUCAGCGCUAAAUCACGAAACCCUAUCUUUCUCUCCCAAACUAUCCAUAUGUCGCCUCCGAAGAAGACAGCCGGCGAGGAUCCGAUGUUGCUGCACCUAUGAGUCACGUACCGUUGCCUUAUUAUUCUCUUUGAUUGUGGUUGCUUCUCCUCCUUUCUAUUGUUUUGAUAUGAAAAGAAUUAGGAUUUGAGGAUGCUUAAUUAUCAGGAUGUCAUCGGCAAACUCUACAAUUAGAUUUUGGGAUGCAUCGAGUUUGAUUCUAUUUUGCUGAUGCUACUUUUCUUGAGGGAAAUUCUAUUGUUGUUCCUCUGCUAGGAGUGUUGGCAUCGGUUUCUCUAGAGACCUCGAAGCUGCUCAUGCAAAGGCCAGUUGGAAGGAGAGGCGGUGUCAAUUACUCUAACAAAAGAGGGAAAACUACUUGCAAAUGCAUACCAUGUAUGGAAUUGGAUAUGUUCAGAAGAUAUCGGCUAUAAAGGGUCUUAAAACAAGAUGCAACCUGUGAUGAAACACAUUUAAGUCCUCAUGCUACUCAUUUUAAUAGGAUUAUCCAGUUGUGUACUCUUCAAUAGUAAGAGGAUAUUUUGUUGUCAUUCUUGUUAAUUAUUCAUUGGUAGCAAACAGAUUGUAAAUGGGCAUUUUCAGCUAAUUUAACCCCAAGGAGUUGGAAUGUAUUAUAGUUUUAGGCUACAAUAUUAAUGUGUGGCUGCUGUAAAUUUUUUUUAAAAAGAAUUCACAACAUUUACCGCGUUUUAUUUACCGAAAUGCAGCAAUUGAUAUUUA
Molecule: long non-coding RNA, 813 nt
Organism: Spinacia oleracea (spinach)
Lineage: Eukaryota; Viridiplantae; Streptophyta; Magnoliopsida; Caryophyllales; Amaranthaceae
Exons: 4
Source: RefSeq, a predicted model, not a curated record